CAGAAGGUAGUUUAGUUUAGAAUACCAGCUUUGGGAGUUGGUGGUGGAGGUUUGAUUCCUUCCCUUUUGA
Molecule: non-coding RNA, 70 nt
Organism: Parus major (Great Tit)
Lineage: Eukaryota; Metazoa; Chordata; Aves; Passeriformes; Paridae
Source: Ensembl